This 48-nucleotide transfer RNA is filed under the name Bhargavaea beijingensis. RNAcentral's name for it is "tRNA_Met_CAT". It matches the Rfam family "tRNA", at positions 1 to 47 of the family's 71-position model. From Rfam's summary of the family: Transfer RNA (tRNA) molecules are approximately 80 nucleotides in length. Their secondary structure includes four short double-helical elements and three loops (D, anti-codon, and T loops). Lineage: Bacteria; Bacillati; Bacillota; Bacilli; Caryophanales; Caryophanaceae. The record is from RNAcentral.
CGCGGAGUGGAGCAGUGGCAGCUCGUCGGGCUCAUAACCCGAAGGUCG